ACGACGCUGGCGGCGCGCUUAACACAUGCAAGUCGUGCGGUGUCGAAGGCAAGUCUUACGACAAGCCUUCGACACAGCGGCGAACGGGUGAGUAACACGUGAGUAGCUGUCCUAAGGAGGGGGAUAACGCCUGGAAACGGGUGCUAAUACCCCAUAUGCCUCGCAAGAGGUGAAAGUGUACUUGCUACAGCCUUAGGGUGUGCUCGCGGCCUAUCAGCUAGUUGGUGAGGUAACGGCUCACCAAGGCUAAGACGGGUAGCCGGCCUGAGAGGGCGACCGGCCACACUGGGACUGAGACACGGCCCAGACUCCUACGGGAGGCAGCAGUGGGGAAUAUUGCACAAUGGGCGAAAGCCUGAUGCAGCGACGCCGCGUGAGGGAUGACGGCCUUCGGGUUGUAAACCUCUUUCAGCAGGGAAGAAGCGCAAGUGACGGUACCUGCAGAAGAAGCACCGGCUAACUACGUG
RNAcentral lists this ribosomal RNA (467 nucleotides) under uncultured bacterium. RNAcentral's name for it is "bacterial SSU rRNA". It matches the Rfam family "Bacterial small subunit ribosomal RNA", at positions 33 to 507 of the family's 1533-position model. The record is from RNAcentral.